CUCUAUGCUCGCAGAUCAACUCUUUUGUGCAAAUCGGUGGAGAAGAAGACAGGAAAUAAUGGUUUCUCAAAAGUUUUACCUGCACCUGCUCACCUAUGUCACCUUACACUUUGACAUUACUGGCUCUCUCGGUCCUAGGAGGGGUUGAAUAUGCCAAACUAAGCUCUCUGAGAAAAUACAUUUGUGAUUGAAGUGACUUCUUGCCUGAUGAAAAUUCAAGUCUCAUGGAUGGUGAUGUAAACCCAGCUGCUGCUGUGGUGGUAACUCCAUCCAAGGCCAAGCUGUUUCUGGCAUCCCUAAAAAGGCCCAAAAUAAAUCUAUGGGACCGCAGCCGCCCUGAUGUUCAACAGAGAAUCCAACAAUUUAUGUACAUGGGAUUUGAUGAAGCGUGCUUAUGUGUUAUGCCUUUAAAAAUCCUAUACAAACCAUUUUGAUGUGAUCUACUAAGUGUGAAUGGUUAAUGAGGUUAUGUACUAAUAUGUUGAAAUCAAAUGUCCUUGACUAACAAGAGACAAGAGGUUAUUCAGGAAAUGCCACAAUUAAAAGUUCAGAAGUAUUAUACCUCUAUCUUUUUUUUCUUCUUUAUCACCUAUAUGUUUUUAAGUUGUUGAUGUUUUUAAAUGCAGUCCUCUAUGAAAACUGCUGUCAGUUGUGAUUGUUGCUCUUUUCCCCAUCCCUGUAUCCUUAGAGAGAAGGUUUGAUUUAGAGUGCAUUCUAAGCAGUAUACAUCAAAGAAAACAGGGAUAUCAUCAGCUCCUCCUUUCCAAUAAACAUUCUUUCAGGUU
Long non-coding RNA from Myxocyprinus asiaticus (Chinese sucker), 785 nucleotides. RefSeq lists it as uncharacterized. The record is from RefSeq and is a predicted model, not a curated record. The transcript is spliced from 3 exons. Lineage: Eukaryota; Metazoa; Chordata; Actinopteri; Cypriniformes; Catostomidae.